This 328-nucleotide ribosomal RNA is filed under the name uncultured eukaryote. RNAcentral describes it as "partial 18S ribosomal RNA". It matches the Rfam family "Eukaryotic small subunit ribosomal RNA", at positions 1470 to 1796 of the family's 1831-position model. The record is from RNAcentral.
CCCUUAGACGUUCUGGGCCGCACGCGUGCUACACUGACGGAGCCAGCGAGUAUAAACCUUGGCCGAGAGGUCUGGGAAAUCUUGUGAAACUCCGUCGUGCUGGGGAUAGAGCAUUGUAAUUAUUGCUCUUCAACGAGGAAUUCCUAGUAAGCGCAAGUCAUCAGCUUGCGUUGAUUACGUCCCUGCCCUUUGUACACACCGCCCGUCGCUACUACCGAUUGAAUGGCUUAGUGAGGCUUCCGGAUUGGUUUAGAGAAGGGGGCAACUCCAUCUUGGAACCGAGAAGCUAGUCAAACUUGGUCAUUUAGAGGAAGUAAAAGUCGUAACA